RNAcentral lists this small RNA (102 nucleotides) under Tenacibaculum todarodis. RNAcentral describes it as "Tenacibaculum sp. LPB0136 Flavo-1 RNA". It matches the Rfam family "Flavo-1 RNA". The record is from Rfam by way of RNAcentral. Lineage: Bacteria; Pseudomonadati; Bacteroidota; Flavobacteriia; Flavobacteriales; Flavobacteriaceae.
AUUUAGCAAAUACGCACGCGUUAGCGAUUGAAGUGGCAUCCUUUUUUGGUUGUUGAGCGUAGCCGAAACACAAAAAAGAUAUAACGGAAAGCGCGACCCAAA